RNAcentral lists this long non-coding RNA (2404 nucleotides) under Triticum aestivum (bread wheat). RNAcentral's name for it is "long non-coding RNA (TAES_LNC008544)". The record is from RNAcentral. Lineage: Eukaryota; Viridiplantae; Streptophyta; Magnoliopsida; Poales; Poaceae.
AUAUGUUAAAAGUCAGAAUGAUCGAGAAUUUGAGAUCAUCCAAAAACGCAUCACAAGUUGGAGUUGAACACCAAAACAUAGUCCUCUGGAAAGAUCUAACCAUUUGUAUAUCCUCCACUCUUUGACUAAUCUUUGCAGAACCACUACCCUCUUGCUUCUGCUGCAUCUAAAGGAGCACAAACACACACCAAAAGCGAGAUCAGCUUAAGAAUCGACUAGGACCUCAAAUCCACCUCAUAUUAGCUGAUGAUGAUGGAACUCAUGAUGAGAACGAGAAGACCACACGAGCGAUAGCCAUUCAAAUCUGACCUGCCUCAAAUCCCCUUUGACAUACAACACCCCAUGGAUCUCCACAUACCAGAUCCAGUCCUGCAACCAACCCAUGAAAGCCAACACAAAUGGACCAACCAUCAAGACACUGACCUGACACCAUGACACGUACAAACAACAGAUAGCAAUGGGCAGGAAGACUAACGCAGGGAUCAAGAGUACAGAUAACCAAUAAAACCACAAAGAGUAGUAGAUGGCAAACCAGACGAUUUUAACAGAUUCAGGCUCGCUACCAGCAUUGCCUUAGGCCAAAAUAAAUCUGCAACGACAUGGAGGGCAGAAGCAAAAACCUAAAUCAAAGACAUGAACAUGUAGCCGAAUUAAAUAAAGAUUAAAAUAAGAGAUUUGAGUUUUUUUCCGGUUGUAGGAUGUGCCACUAGUUUGAAGCUUCAUUUUUGCAACUUCGCAGCUAAAUCUGAAUUUGAAAUAUUGCCUAGUAAGAAAUCUUAGUACUAUAAUCUAAGUUAAGGAAUUGAGAAGAUAGAUUUAGAAGAACUGCAAACUCAGCAUAAGGUAGGUUGCCUUGAGUUCGUGAACUACGACCUGCAACGAGCAAGAUACCUUUCUAUAAAUGUUUCAGUUAGGGAGAGAACUGGAUUAAAUGAUGAUGAGUUAAGAUAAAAUAAAGUAAGCCUGUAUCGACUGGGAAGGUCAGGUAGACAAGCUCCAAUUAUAUCCCUUGCAAGGCACCAUCUGCAAGAGCUGAGAAUGACUAAGGCAGGGAAACUAAUGUUUGCUGAGAUAUAAUUAUUUCAAUAAGAAAGGUCCAGAAAGUUUAUCCCCAUAAGAAGAAACGCCAUGCUGAGCCAAAAUAGGACCACCCGCCGCUAGGCUAUGUAAUUCCAGUUUCUGGAGAGCCAGCAGCAUAUCAAAAUCAGAGUUGUUGGGGGACUAAUUGAAUUGUGGAGAAGAACAAAUUAAACAGAGUGAUAUCCCAGAAGAUAAGUGGCUCGCACUAGGCCCUUUGUAAUCCCAGUUUCUGGAUAAGCAGCAAAAUGUCCAAAUCAGAGUUGUACUGUAGUAGGCUAAAUUGAACCAAGAAACUAAAUUAGGAGGGAUUGAUGUGUAUUAUCCGAAUGCAGAUCGUGUAUUCCAGCCUAGGUUGGUAAGAGGUCGAAAGCUUGGAUCAUCCCAGAAGAUUUGAUCAUAUCAGAAUCCGUCGGACUGUAACCAAUCAAUCGAAAUAACCGUUGGACUGUAACCAAUCAUUCAGAAUAACCAUGAACAGAAAUCAAACCUCCGCCGCCCCUUCAUCUGUAUCAUCUCUCCAGAUCUAAGCGCUGGCCCUCUUGGUUCUGCAUCUAGGAUGAGAGCACAUACACCAAAAGCAGAUCAGCCGGUACAACAAGAAUCCACGAGGGCCUCGAAUUCACCUAGUGGGAACAUGGAACCGGAAGGACGCACGGGCGACCGCCGUUCAAUUCAAUUCAAUUCAAAUCUAAAACCACCGACGAGACGGACGCAGGUGACGGAACCAAGGAACCGAUCUGACCGAUCGAGCACGGGAAACUGACCUUGCUUCGGCCCUGGGGUCACCCGAGACCAAAUCAGACGCAGAGGCAAAACCGACCAGCUCGACGGAAUCCCCGAUCGAUCGAUCCCGGAGGCGGACGAGACGGGCCGAAUCCCCUGCGAGCACAGGAGGCAGAGGCGACGAGGAGCGAAAUCAAACGCGAUUCGAAACGAAUCGAGAAUUUGAUGGACAAGGGGGAGGAGACGGUCGCGGAGACGCGAGGGGGCGACUCAGGCGAUCGAGCGCGGAGGCGCGGCCGGAACGAAAGCUCCAAAGGAGAAGAGAGGAGGCCAGAGCGCGGGGAGGAGAGGGCGCACCGGGGCGCCUUUUGUAGACGGCGCAGAGGCGGUUUGGGGAGGGGAGGCCGGCCUGGCGCCAACCGGUUCCUUACCGGACACGGCUUCGCCGCGCUGGCGUGCCCGCCCGCCGGUUAGGCAAGGCAUCAUUGUGCUUUGCGGGCACGUUUUCUUUCUCUUUUUUUUGAAGGACGGGCACGUUUUCUUUAGGGGAAUUGCGGGUGGAGCUGGUGAGAUCGGGCUGGAUCCGGACCGGGUUUGGUUU